GGUACAUAUCCAUGACUACUUGCUCUAAAUUCUCAACAUGUUCCUGGUAGAGGGGAAGAUGCUUCCUGAAUCCUUCAAUUUGUAAGUACCCCCUGCUGCUUCUGUUUGAUAUGCUUCAAGUUUGGAAGAUUGACAAAAUGUGGCCAGCUUGCUCCUUGCUCCAGGGCUUUAAGAUUGGAAGAUGCAAAAAGCUUAUCAGUAAUUUAUUCAGUUGUUUUACUGUUGCAUAGUGGUUUAUACACAAGGCAUAUCAUCUUUAUCUCAAUAUUCACACAAACUCUGAACACCAAUCUUAUCUGUUGUUUUUUGUGGUAUGUAUAGUGGUUUGCUUCCUUUGUCAGAUCUAUUUUGUUUUCAUCCUGCCUUGCAUAGUUAUUGUUUCCCUUUUGGUUUGUCUUUUCUAUUGUGUACUUGCCGUGCCUAUGUCCAGUUUGUUUGUAUUGCCUGCUGUAUCUUGUGCUAGAUCAGCUUGUUAUGACCAUGCACUCUCAGAGCUGUUAAUGAAAAAAAAUUGGUAUUGCAAGCAUCGUUCUGUGCAAGAAAAGAGUCUGUGUGUUGUGAUUCAGUUCCUUAUCCUGCCAAUCUAUCAUCUCGGGAUACUUAUUUUCUUUUGUGUUCCACGUCCUGUUGCUAUUACGCCGGCCCGCCGCCUCGUGUGCUGCCUUUCUUCUUGCCAAGGUUCUACCUUUCUCCUUUGACUUUCUGUUGUUUAGCUCAUUUCAUAUACAACAUUUUACUUGCUCUAACUGUGUGUUCUGUAUGUUGUUUUCUGUUUUCAUUAUUAUUUCUUUUCAUGCCUGCCAUCCUUCUAAUUUAUUUUGUGCCUGGAUUCUGGAAACGACCAAGGACAAGAAACACAAGCGAAAGAUUUCUUCAGUCGAUCCUGCCCUGUUAUUCUAAUGAAACAUGAUAAAGGUUCGUUGCUGCCGUCGUUUCUUCUGUUUCUUCGGGGUUUCAAUCGGCCUGCCGUGUUCUGCUGCUUCGAGAGACUGCAUCGUUCAUGCUUCUGGUUGGCUUAGUUGGCGAGAUCAACAACUACAGCUAACUAGGUGCAUCACCUCGUGAAAAACCCGGACACACGAGGCGUGGACAACACUAGAGGUGAGGUCCUGGUGGAGAGUGGCAUGUUGGUUUCCUCGGUAGGAUCUGGCUUCCUUGAGGUGACUGUUUAGGAUCAUUGACAUGGGAUUUUGUAGUUAUUCUCUCAAUCUGAUUUUGUGUCUUGCUGCAUGCAAUACCUGAUCCUAUGUUCCCUUUGCUUUCUUGGUUGGCUUUGCAGACCAGGAGACACAUUCUGGAGAUCUCCUUGGCCAUCAGCUGGUCAUGCAUGCUCCUUAUAAGCUAGGGAUUACAGUUCUUAAGAUUAACUGCAUUAUCUCUGUUUCUAUAUUAGAAUAACUGAAAAUGUGGUGCAGGACUGCAGUCUACAUUUCAGACUGAGAGGGCGAAAUUGGGGAGGCUUGGAGGAGACCAGAGAGCAACGAUGUUGAGGUGGAGGGAGCCAGGAGUGCCAUUAUCGACAGCACGAGUACCAUCUCUGGGCAUACUACUGUAAGUUGCAACCAAUAACCAACAUCUAGAUGCGUCUACUCCAUGUACAAUAGUUUCAUGUGCAUUGAUUGUGUCCCCUAAAUCCAUUCAUCCUACCAAUAGUUUAGCAUAUGGGAUGUUGACAAACAAUGCAUCCAUGCCUUCUUUUUCUAUGGAUGUAUGCUCAAGACAAGACAACAUAAAAAUGCCAUGGUCGAGGUCGGCAUCUCCGGGAAGGUCUCCACAACAGGGAGGGCUCCAUAAUCGUUCUCCAGUUAUUUCCCACUUAUCUCCUUCAGAUGUGGUCAAUUUGGCAUGGGCACGCGUUCGGUCGGAAUGGGUCAGAUGGGCUUCUGUCUAUUGUUGUUCUUGUGUUUCUUUCUCUUAUCUCAUGGUUGCCUAUUGUAUGCAUGAAAAUGCCUGACAAUGGAGGUAGCCACAAGCACACAUAUGUUGUAGCUUCGAGGCAUUGACUUGUGUGUGUUCUGAACUUACAUUAGAUCUUCAUAGACUAUAUGCUUUUAUUUUGAGACAUCUUAAUCCUUUUGAUUAAUCACAUUGAUGUACUGAUGAUACUUAAGUACUCUAUAAAUGUGCCGUUGCAAGCUACUAGAGAUGAUCUGUUAAAAACAGUACCCCAACAGAGAGAGCCGUAGGUUUAGUUUUCACUUAUGGCAGUUGAUGUGCUAUGUUUGCUGAUGUGCAUUUUUUUUCAUGCUAUGCAUGCUCUCCAUUGAUAUAACAAAUCCAUUUCUAUUAUUUGCAUAAUUCUUUGCUAACAGUUUGGACAUAGUUUUUCCAUUGAUAGGGAUUUGCUGCCCAAUGAUCUGUUCUCGCUACAGAUUUGUAGGUUUAGUUUACUAUUGUACUAUGCAGUAUGAAAGCAGUGUAAAUAAGUUAGCUGGGACAACCACGAUGGCCUGCUUUUGGUAUAUGAACAAUGAUGCUUUAGGUGUUUGAUGCUACAUUAUAUGAACCUCUAAUAGGAAUCGUCACUAUGAGAAGCUGCAAGGCCAGUGUGUCUACCUCUUCCUGAAGUGGCACAUGAAUAUCUGUCUUUCUUUAGUUAUAUCAUGUUGCAUUUUCAGUGACAUGCUCAAAAUAUGUAAUCAACUGAACCACUACUAUGAGUAAUUGUUUGCUUCC
This is a long non-coding RNA of Triticum urartu, 2676 nucleotides long. RefSeq lists it as uncharacterized. The record is from RefSeq and is a predicted model, not a curated record. Lineage: Eukaryota; Viridiplantae; Streptophyta; Magnoliopsida; Poales; Poaceae.